AAAUUGAAGAGUUUUGAUCAUGGCUCGGAAUUGAACGCUGGCGGCAGGCUAACACAUACAGAGAUCGAACGGUAACAGGAACGGCUUGCUGCUUCGCUGACAGUGGCGGACGGGUGGUAAUAAUGCAGGGGAAACUGCCUGAUGGAGGGACAACUACUGGAAACGGGCUAAUACCUGCCGCAUAACGUCGCAAGACCAAGAGAGGGACUUCGGGCCUCUUGCCAUCAGAUAUUGCCCAGAUGGGAUUAGCUUGUUGGUGGUAACGGCUCACCAGGCGACGAUCCCCUAGCUGAUACCGAGAGGAUGACCAGCCACACUGAAGAACUGGUCCAGACUCUGGGAGGCAGCAGUGGGGAAUAUUGCACAAUGAGCGCAAGCCUGAUGCAGCAACCAUGCCGCGUGUAUGAAAGAGGCCUUCGGGUUGUAGUACUUUCAGCGGGGAAGGGUAUUUGUGGUUGCGCCGCAAUUGACGUUACCCGCAGAAAAGCACCGACUGUGCUCCGUGCCAGCCGCGGUAAUACGGAGGUAAUACGGAAGUGCAAGCGUUAAUCGGAAUUACUGGGCGUAAGCGCACGCGGGCGGUCUGUCCGUCCGGAUGUGAAAUCCCACGGGCUCAACACAGAGACUGCAUUCGAAACUGGCAGGCGAGUCUUGUAGAGGGUAGAAUUCGGUGUAGCGGUGAAAUGCGUAGAGAUCUGGAGAAUUACCGGUGGCGAAGGCGGCCCCGGACAAAAGACGACGCUCAGGUGCGGCAGCGUGGGGAGCAAACAGGAUUAGAUACCACGGUAGUCCACGCCGUAAACGAUGUCUACUUGGAGGUUGGCGCGCGAGGCGUGGCUUCCGGAGCUAACGCGUUAAGUAUUGAGCCGCACGAGGUACGGCCGCAAGGUUGAAACUCAAAUGAAUUGACGAGGGGCCCGCACAAGCGGUGGGCAUGUGGUUUAAUUCGAUGCAACGCGAAGGGCUUAUACGGUCUUGACAUCCACGGAAGUUUUCAGAGAUGAGAAUGUGCCUUCGGGAACCGUAGAGACGGAGUGCUGCAUGGCUGUCGUCAGCUUUCGUGUUGUGAAAAUGUUGGGUUAGAAGUCCCGCAACGAGCGCAACCCACUUAUCGCUUUGUUGCCAGCGGUCCGGCCGCGGGAACUCAAAAGGAGACUGCCAGUGAUAACUGGAGAGUGGGGAUAUUGACACGUCAGGUAUCAUAGCUACUGCGGCGAGGCUACACGUGCUACAAUGGCGCAUACAAGAAGCGACCUCGCGAGCAAGCGGACCUCAUAAAGUGCGUCGUGGUCCGGAUUGGAGUCUGCAACUCGACUCCAUGGGGAAGUCGGAAUCGCUAGUAAUCGUGGAUCAGAAUGCCACGGUGAAUACGUUCAGGCCUUGUACGCACCGCCCGUCACACCAUGGGAGGUGGGUUGCCAAAAGAAGUGUAGCAACCUUCGGGAGGGCGCUUACCACUUUGUGAUUCAUGACUGGGGUGAAGUCGUAACAAAAGGUAACCGUAGGGAACCUGCGGUUGGAUCACCUCCCCU
RNAcentral lists this ribosomal RNA (1532 nucleotides) under Salmonella enterica subsp. enterica. RNAcentral describes it as "16S ribosomal RNA". It matches the Rfam family "Bacterial small subunit ribosomal RNA". The record is from RNAcentral. Lineage: Bacteria; Pseudomonadati; Pseudomonadota; Gammaproteobacteria; Enterobacterales; Enterobacteriaceae.